UAAACCAAGGAUUUGGUUAGUCUCAGGAUGAGACCGGUGUACUAGGAUGGUAUAUCGAACAAGGACUGUGAAGGGAUAGCCGAGGAACGGCAAAAGGUAAGCAGGACGUUUACCAGUCAGGAUGACAAAAGGACCACUUCAGGACGAAGUCAGGGACACCUCCAGGAUGGAUGUUGAGAGUCAGGACAGGAUGGACUGACGGGUCAGGAUGGCCACAGGAUCACUUCAGGACGAAGUAAAAAGGACAAUGCUGAAGGAAUACAGCUGUCAAUGGAAUGAUGCAGGGAGCACCAUAGUAGCGGGAUUGCUGCAAGUAAGACCUAAGGGCGCAACGCAAGUUGCGCCCGCUCUUUUUUGG
Molecule: non-coding RNA, 358 nt
Filed under: Photobacterium lutimaris
Lineage: Bacteria; Pseudomonadati; Pseudomonadota; Gammaproteobacteria; Vibrionales; Vibrionaceae
Source: RNAcentral